GACGAACGCUGGCGGCGUGCUUAACACAUGCAAGUCAAGGGGGCCCAGCAAUGGGCAACCGGCGAACGGGUGCGUAACACGUGAGCAACCUACCGAACUGUGGGGGAUAGCCGGCCUAACGGCCGAGUAAUACCGCAUACGCUCUCAGUGAGGCAUUUCAUUGAGAGGAAACCUACGGGACAGAUCGAGGGGCUCGCGGCCUAUCAGCUAGUUGGCGAGGUAACGGCUCACCAAGGCAACGACGGGUAGCUGGUCUGAGAGGAUGGCCAGCCACAUUGGGACUGAGAUACGGCCCAGACUCCUACGGGAGGCAGCAGUGGGGAAUCUUGCGCAAUGGCCUAACGGCUGACGCAGCGACGCCGCGUGUGGGAUGAAGCUCUUCGGAGUGUAAACCACUGUUGCCCGGGACGAAUAGCUCGAUUAAUCGAGCCUGACAGUACCGGGUGAGGAAGCACCGGCUAACUCCGUGCCAGCCGCCGCGGU
Molecule: ribosomal RNA, 483 nt
Filed under: uncultured bacterium
Lineage: Bacteria
Description: bacterial SSU rRNA
Rfam family: Bacterial small subunit ribosomal RNA
Source: RNAcentral